RNAcentral lists this ribosomal RNA (632 nucleotides) under Hepatozoon canis. Its description in RNAcentral is "bacterial SSU rRNA". It matches the Rfam family "Eukaryotic small subunit ribosomal RNA", at positions 203 to 824 of the family's 1831-position model. The record is from RNAcentral. Lineage: Eukaryota; Apicomplexa; Hepatozoidae.
CAUUUAUUAGAUAAAAAGCCAGUUCAUGCUUUUAUAGUAUGAAAAUUGGUGAUUUAUAAUAACUUAGCAAAUCGCAAAGUGAAAACAGGCGAUAAAUCAUUCAAGUUUCUGACCUAUCAGCUUUCGACGGUAUGGUAUUGGCUUACCGUGGCAGUGACGGUUAACGGGGGAUUAGGGUUCGAUUCCGGAGAGGGAGCCUGAGAAACGGCUACCACAUCUAAGGAAGGCAGCAGGCGCGCAAAUUACCCAAUUCUAACAGUUUGAGAGAGGUAGUAACAAGAAAUAACAAUACAAGGCAGUUAAAAUGCUUUGUAAUUGGAAUGAUAGAAAUUUAAACCCUUUUUAAAGUAUCAAUUGGAGGGCAAGUCUGGUGCCAGCAGCCGCGGUAAUUCCAGCUCCAAUAGCGUAUAUUAAAAUUGUUGCAGUUAAAAAGCUCGUAGUUGAAGUUCUGCUGAAAGUAACCGGUCUGCUUUUAAUAAAAGUGGUAUCUUGGUAUGUAUUUAGCAAUGAUGUCCUUUGAAGUGUUUUUUACUUUAUUGUAAUAAAGCAUAUUCAGGACUUUUACUUUGAGAAAAUUAGAGUGUUUCUAGCAGGCUAACGCUUUGAAUACUGCAGCAUGGAAUAAUAAGAUA